RNAcentral lists this ribosomal RNA (253 nucleotides) under uncultured bacterium. Its description in RNAcentral is "partial 16S ribosomal RNA". It matches the Rfam family "Bacterial small subunit ribosomal RNA", at positions 524 to 776 of the family's 1533-position model. The record is from RNAcentral.
UACAUGGGGUGCAAACGUUGCUCGGAAUCAUUGGGCGUAAAGCGCGUGAAGGCGGUUACUUAAGUCGGAUGUGAAAGCCCUCGGCUUAACUGAGGAAGUGCAUCCGAAACUGGGUAGCUAGAGUACGAAAGAGGGUCGCGGAAUUCCCGGUGUAGAGGUGAAAUUCGUAGAUAUCGGGAGGAACACCAGUGGCGAAGGCGGCUUUCUGGCCUGUUCUUGACGCUGAGGCGCGAAAGCUAGGGGAGCAAACAGG